RNAcentral lists this ribosomal RNA (253 nucleotides) under uncultured bacterium. RNAcentral describes it as "partial 16S ribosomal RNA". It matches the Rfam family "Bacterial small subunit ribosomal RNA", at positions 524 to 776 of the family's 1533-position model. The record is from RNAcentral.
UACGUAGGGUGCGAGCGUUAAUCGGAAUUACUGGGCGUAAAGCGUGCGCAGGCGGUUUUGCAAGCCGGAUGUGAAAUCCCCGGGCUCAACCUGGGAAUGGCAUUCGGGACUGCAAGGCUGGAGUGCGGCAGAGGAGACUGGAAUUCCUGGUGUAGCAGUGAAAUGGGUAGAUAUCAGGAGGAAUACCGAUGGCGAAGGCAGGUCUCUGGGCUGACACUGACGCUCAUGCACGAAAGCGUGGGGAGCAAACAGG